This 253-nucleotide ribosomal RNA is filed under the name uncultured bacterium. Its description in RNAcentral is "partial 16S ribosomal RNA". It matches the Rfam family "Bacterial small subunit ribosomal RNA", at positions 524 to 776 of the family's 1533-position model. The record is from RNAcentral.
UACGAAGGGGGCUAGCGUUGUUCGGAAUCACUGGGCGUAAAGCGCACGUAGGCGGAUCUUUAAGUCAGGGGUGAAAUCCCGAGGCUCAACCUCGGAACUGCCUUUGAUACUGGGGAUCUCGAGUCCGGGAGAGGUGAGUGGAAUUCCGAGUGUAGAGGUGAAAUUCGUAGAUAUUCGCAAGAACACCAGUGGCGAAGGCGGCUCACUGGCCCGAUACUAACGCUGAGGCACGAAAGCGUGGGGAGCAAACAGG